Molecule: ribosomal RNA, 497 nt
Filed under: uncultured bacterium
Lineage: Bacteria
Description: partial 16S ribosomal RNA
Rfam family: Bacterial small subunit ribosomal RNA
Source: RNAcentral
GAUGAACGCUGGCGGCGUGCCUAAUACAUGCAAGUCGAGCGAACGGACGAGAAGCUUGCUUUUCUGAUGUUAGCGGCGGACGGGUGAGUAACACGUGGAUAACCUACCUAUAAGACUGGGAUAACUUCGGGAAACCGGAGCUAAUACCGGAUAAUAUUUUGAACCGCAUGGUUCAAAAGUGAAAGACGGUCUUGCUGUCACUUAUAGAUGGAUCCGCGCUGCAUUAGCUAGUUGGUAAGGUAACGGCUUACCAAGGCAACGAUGCAUAGCCGACCUGAGAGGGUGAUCGGCCACACUGGAAGUGAGACACGGUCCAGACUCCUACGGGAGGGAGCAGUAGGGAAUGUUCCGCAAUGGGCGAAAGCCUGACGGAGCAACGCCGCGUGAGUGAUGAAGGUCUUCGGAUCGUAAAACUCUGUUAUUAGGGAAGAAAAUAUGUGUAAGUAACUGUGCACAUCUUGACGGUAACUAAUCAGAAAGCAACGGCUAACUACGUG